RNAcentral lists this ribosomal RNA (490 nucleotides) under uncultured bacterium. Its description in RNAcentral is "partial 16S ribosomal RNA". It matches the Rfam family "Bacterial small subunit ribosomal RNA", at positions 29 to 507 of the family's 1533-position model. The record is from RNAcentral.
AUUGAACGCUGGCGGCAGGCCUAACACAUGCAAGUCGAACGGAAACAGGAAGAUGUUUGCUGCUUUGCUGACGAGUGGCGGACGGGUGAGAAAUGUGUGGGAAACCCCCGGAUGUGGGGGGAUAACUACUGGAAACGGUAACUAAUAGCGCAUAACGUCUCAAGACCAAAGAGGGGGGGCUUGUGGCGUCUGGCCAUGGGAGACGCCCAGAUUGGAUUCUCGAGGAGGUGGGGUAACGGUUCACAUAGGCGACGAUGCGUAGCUGAUGGGAGAGGCUGAGCGGCCACACUGGAACUGAGCCACCGACCAGACUCCUAAGGUAGGCAGCAGUGGGGAAUAUUGCGCAAUGGGCGCAAGCCUGAUGCAGCCAUGCCGCGUGUAUGACGAAGGCCUUGGGGUUGUAAAGUCCUCUCAGCGGGGAGGAAGCGAGUACAGUUGAUACCUUUGCUCAUUGACGUUACCCGCAGAAGAAGCACCGGCUAACUACGUG